CUACUCUGGUUUCUCUUCAUAGCGCACAAGUCUUUCACCUUUUACUAAAGACUUCCAUGGAGAGGAGCAUCAACGAGUUGAAGCAAUAUUUUGGGGGCAGCCGUGGCCUAGAGGUUGG
Scatophagus argus is the source of this 118-nucleotide small nuclear RNA. RefSeq annotates it as U5 spliceosomal RNA. The transcript has a single exon. NCBI's taxonomy places the organism in Eukaryota, Metazoa, Chordata, Actinopteri, Scatophagidae. The record is from RefSeq and is a predicted model, not a curated record.